GCCGAAGUCGUUCAGCCAGGUAGAAUGCUAGUCUCGAAAACUAGUUCCGCAAGGAAUCGCAGGUUCAAAUCCUGCCUUCGGCG
This 83-nucleotide transfer RNA is filed under the name Nanobdellota archaeon. Its description in RNAcentral is "tRNA-Ser". It matches the Rfam family "tRNA". Rfam says of the family: Transfer RNA (tRNA) molecules are approximately 80 nucleotides in length. The record is from RNAcentral. Lineage: Archaea; Nanobdellati; Nanobdellota.